GGCCCGAUGGUGUAGAGGCAUGAUUCUCGCUUAGGGUGCGAGAGGUCCCGGGUUCAAUUCCCGGUCGGGCCC
Molecule: transfer RNA, 72 nt
Filed under: Nematostella vectensis (starlet sea anemone)
Lineage: Eukaryota; Metazoa; Cnidaria; Anthozoa; Actiniaria; Edwardsiidae
Rfam family: tRNA
About the family: Transfer RNA (tRNA) molecules are approximately 80 nucleotides in length. Their secondary structure includes four short double-helical elements and three loops (D, anti-codon, and T loops).
Source: Rfam by way of RNAcentral